ACGGGAGGCAGCAGUGGGGAAUAUUGCACAAUGGGCGCAAGCCUGAUGCAGCGACGCCGCGUGCGGGAUGGAGGCCUUCGGGUUGUAAACCGCUUUUGUUCAAGGGCAAGGCACGGCUUCGGGCCGUGUUGAGUGGAUUGUUCGAAUAAGCACCGGCUAACUACGUGCCAGCAGCCGCGGUAAUACGUAGGGUGCGAGCGUUAUCCGGAUUUAUUGGGCGUAAAGGGCUCGUAGGCGGUUCGUCGCGUCCGGUGUGAAAGUCCAUCGCCUAACGGUGGAUCUGCGCCGGGUACGGGCGGGCUGGAGUGCGGUAGGGGAGACUGGAAUUCCCGGUGUAACGGUGGAAUGUGUAGAUAUCGGGAAGAACACCAAUGGCGAAGGCAGGUCUCUGGGCCGUUACUGACGCUGAGGAGCGAAAGCGUGGGGAGCGAACAGGAUUAGAUACCCUGGUA
Molecule: ribosomal RNA, 452 nt
Filed under: uncultured Bifidobacteriaceae bacterium
Lineage: Bacteria; Bacillati; Actinomycetota; Actinomycetes; Bifidobacteriales; Bifidobacteriaceae
Description: bacterial SSU rRNA
Rfam family: Bacterial small subunit ribosomal RNA
Source: RNAcentral